Molecule: long non-coding RNA, 28551 nt
Filed under: Citrus maxima (pomelo)
Lineage: Eukaryota; Viridiplantae; Streptophyta; Magnoliopsida; Sapindales; Rutaceae
Description: long non-coding RNA (CMAX_LNC003611)
Source: RNAcentral
CGUGGUUCAAUAACCAGGGCUCCUUGUUAUUAAUAACAUUGGAGUGGUUUUGAUGAUCAUGAUCAUGAUGAUUGAUACUGUUGCGGUUACGAUGAGAAGCGACCCAUUGAAAAGCAGUCCAGCAGUCUUCAUAUGCUGCGGGAAGAAGGUGUUCUGGGGCUAGCCUGUAUUCAAUGGAGACUGCGAGUACUUGAGACUGAGAGACCAAGAUGUUGAGGUACCUGUGGUCAAUAAAUGAGAAAGCGGACUCGAAGCAGAAGGCGCUGCCGUGGAAGUAGACCAAAACGGGGAGUUUUUGAUGGGGUUGGGCGAGUUUUGGGAGGUAGAGGCGAGCAGAUAUGGCGGGGUUUCGAGAGAUGGUUACGUCUUUUGACGAGACCCCGAAUUGAGGAUCCGGGUCAAGCGUUGGAGGCACGUAGGGUGAAUCCAUCAUCCGCUCAACCGAGCCAUCUUUGUAGACUCUGAUCAGUGGGAGGAGCUCUUUGGCUACUUCUUUGUUUGUUGAAGCAGCCAUUGGAAUUUUUGAGAGAGAUUACUGAAUUGGUUUGGAAAUUGCGGAAUUACUUGACAGGAUAUAGCGAAGAAAUGGCCCGAAUUGGUGCGUGGGACACAGUUGAGGUGACGAAGACCCAUUUCUGUUCUGAUUGCAAUCCAACUUAACAUGUCCAGACUAACAGUGCCACACAUUGACUUUACGCGUCUAGAGCACUGUGCGUGGGACACAGUUGAAGGCAGAAUCUUAUUUUGGAUUACAUUACGUUGAAUGAAAAUAAUCAUAAUUAAUUAAACUUUUAACAGUUACCGGGCACUAUUUUUUUUUCCUUUCAUAAAAGUCAACAAGAAAAGGAAUCAUGUGGAACUUUCAACUAUUAUUUUAUUUAAUAUAUAUGAAUAUCGAUGUUAUCUUUUUAACAAAAAAAAAAUAUCGAAGUUAUCUUAAUUAUUUGAUAUUAUGGCUUAAAGGCGUUUGACCAUGAAAAUAAGACAAAAUAAAAUUUAAAAAGAAACAUAAUGAUAACGAGCUUCAAGGUCACACAAACAUUGAACACGAAGAGAAGACUUUGAAUGAAAUAAUAGUCUACUGGGCCGGCGGCUUAGAGUGUGCAGCACGUGCAUGAACAUGAUUCGAUUGAUUGGAUCAACGACACAACGCCUUUUGUGAAGCCCAGUUAAGUCUAGCUUCGGUGCCACUUCGGCCUUGGCCGAAGGUGGGCUGCUGCCCUCACAAGCAUUGUGAGGGCAGCGAUUUUAGCCCCCACAAAAGUAUUGUGGGGGCUAAAUAUUUUUUAUAUUUUUAAAAAAUUAUUUUUUUUUGUGAAAUACGAGUGGAGUAUGGAUAUUUUUUUCUUGUGAGGGGUUAUUUGUUUGGGCAUGUACUUCAUAGAAUUCAAUGUCAUAAUAUAAGUAUUAAUUAUGUAUAUCUGAUUGUAAAUAUCAAUAUAAUAUCUCUGCUACAAUAACAGUUGUUGUAAAUAUCUGUGUAAUGCAGUAAUCUGAUGAUUAAUCAGUAUUCAAAAAAAAAAAAAGUCUAGCUUCGGUUGAUUGGAUCGAAUAUUUCACCUAUUUGUUGUUAUUAUUCCUGUUAUUAGGUGUGAAAAAUUGGAUGAAAAUUGCUAAACUCGGCAUUCGUAAACUAAAAUAAAAAAACCAAAUUAAAAAUCUAGACGAAUGGAAACAAGUUACCAACGUACGCAUGUGAUGCCUUUACUUUUCUGUAAUCUAAAAAAUUUGUUGAUUGCUGUGCCUUUAAUUUACUUUCUUUAAUUACAAAAAUUCCUCUCUUGAGACAAGUGAAGAAUCUGCAAAUUUUAAAACCACCGACACCACCUGCUGCCGCCACAAUCAUCAGCCUUCACACCCGCAGCCGACAGUGCUCUGUGGUGACGGCGGAAGCUUGCUGAUAUUGAAAGCUUGGUUUGAUAAGAGAACGAAUCAAAUGAGUUGGCGCUCGGAUGUCGUUAAAGUUUCAAGUAAUUUAUUGAUUCCGUCCAAAAGACACUACGUGUCACUCACUUUUAAUUACUGAGAAAACCGAUUUUUUAAAAGUUUUUUGUUUAAAAAACCGAACUUAACCGUUUUAAAACAUAUAGAAGGCCCAAUCUAGCCUAACAAAAUAGUUCGGUUCCGAAUUUACUCAGUCCACCCUUUUAAACCAAUGCAUGUGACAAUUUUAUAGAUACUUUAUGAAAAUUUUAAUAAUUUGUUGUCUCAAUCUUAUAAAUUGUUGGGCGCAUCAUAUUUAGCUGCAAAUAGCAAAUCCUAAAUAUAUCAUAUUUGGUUAUAGAAUUUAGAAUCUUCUUACUUUCUUAAUACAGUAUAAGGAAGAUAUAACAUUUUCUUUUUUAUAUAAAGCAUAACUAACAAUGGAUGUAAGCAAUAUCGAAGAGUACUAUUUCUUCAUUAAGCAAACAAUGAGGUAUUUCAAAAUAUCUCCUACUAAUUGAGCAAGAGUUCUUAUAAUUUCUUCCAAAAGAGAAUGAAUCAAAUGAGUUGAUAAGAAGAGAACGAAUCAAAUGAGUUGGCGCUCGGAUUUCAUUGUUAAAGUCUCAAGUAAUUUACCGAUUCCGUCCAAAAGACACCACGUGUCGCUCACUUUUAGUUAUUGGAAAAACUGUUUUUUUUUUUUGUUUUAAAAAACCGAACUGAACUGUUUUAAAAUAUAGAGAGUGCCUGAUCUAGUCUAACAAAACGGUUCGGUUUCGAGUUUACUCGAUCCACCCUUGUAACCGGUGCAUGUGACAAUUUUAUAGAUACUCUAUGAAAAUUGAAAAAAAAAAUUGAAUAGGUAGAAUAAACUAUAAAGUGUGUGUGUGUUUGUGUGUAUCUCGUGAUUUUAAUCGCGUAUAUGAAAAUUCAAUAAUUUUUACAAUUUUAUUAAAUAAAGAUGAAAUUUUUGACAUUUUGUUUUACUUCUCAUAGUAACUAAUUUUUUACAAGACAUAUAAUCUAGUUUACUAUAUUAAAAUUUUAUUAAUUUAUUGUCUCAACCUUAUAAAUUGUCGAACGCAUCAUAUUUAGUUGCAAAUAGCAAAUACUAAAUAUAUCAUAUUUGGUUAUAGAAUUUAGAAUCUUCUUACUUUCUUAAUAUAGUAUGAGGAAGAUAUUACAUUAUCUUUUUUAUAUAAGGCAUAACUAACGGUGGAUGUAAGCAGUAUCGAAGUGUACUAUUUCUUAAUUAAGCAAACAAUGAGGUAUUUCAAACUAUCUUCUACUAAUUGAGAAAGAGUUCUUAUAAUUUCUUCCCGUUUGAAUCAUCUCGCUGUUUGUUAUCCAUUCGACAUGAUUAUGACUUUAGCAUAAAUAUAAUGAAUCUUUGACUAACGAAUAAUACUUUGUAACUAGUACUUGUAGCACUGAGAGGACACGUGUUUUUUUCUAAGCUUUAAUUAGUUAGUCAAACCAUUUUUCAAAUUCAAUUACAUUUUUAGCCUAAUUAUCAUUGGAAAUACUCAAUAAAUUGGAUAAUCAUGUUACAUGCUAAAAUAAAAACUAUAAUUAUUUAUUUAAUUUCUAUAUUUUACAAGAAAUUCAACAGCGGAAAUGAUGCUUGAAGAUGGUAAACUCGGCUCAAAGAAAGUGAAGAUUGUGGGAAAGCCCUCAGACAUGAACUUGCUUUUUUCAUAUCUUUUUGGUUGAUGAAGAUCAUAUCAACUGCAAAAUUCAAUCGACGAUUUUGAAAUCAUAUGAAUCAAAGUGGUUAAAAUAGAAAACUGCAGUUGAUUUUUUUUUUUUUUGGACGUCACUUGUUUUAUUUUCUUUAGGGAAAUUUUAUUAUAAAAUAAUAUUUUAUAUUUACUUAUUUUGAUAAAUUCAUGAUAUUUAGGGUUAAUAUAAAAAAGGAUCAAAACCAUAAUUUUAUUCAUUCAACCUUUUUAAUUAAAUUUUCAUUAUAUAGAAACUUAGUUUCUCUUUAUCUAUCAAUUUUUUUGUUUCCACAUCGUCAAAGUCAUAAUGAAGCCGAUGUUCAACAUUAAAAUUUGUUAUCAGCCAGCCAUAUGAAAUGCGAGAAAAUAUUAAUGCUAUUUGAUAAAUGAUCUCGAUAUCUUGAUUCUUGUAGUUCUAACAAAUUAAAAUUUAUCGAAGAAAAAAUCGAACACAUUACAUGAUUAGAUGCAUCUAAGUAUUCCUAGAGCUGGCAUAAUAAGAUACGAAUCUGAUCGUACAUUACAUAAUAUGAAAUGCAAAGCCCGGGUCCCUUUUUUUAGUGUAUGCGGUCCGGGUAAAACUCGGACCGGAUUGGCCGGGUCCGGUCCGGGCGGGUUUUGUUUACACCCCUAAAUUCUAGAUCCGGAGUUUGCACGAUCAUUCUUCUUGAAAUGAAUUUAUCAUUAUCGCAUGUUUACAUUUUGAAGUGUUUCAAGGUGUAAUUAAAGUAUCCUCGCCUUAGGCUCAAGAUAUUAGAAGAGGGAAGACGAUAUGAGCGGAUCAAGGGAAGAAUCUCCCGAUUGGCUGCGUUCUUUCCAGGUAUAAUUCAUUUUAAUUUCUAAAUUUCUCAAUCUCUCAAAAAAUUUGAAAAGAUGGAUAUAUGUUCAAUGGAUCACACCUACCAAGUGAAAGUAUUUUGUUUUUUCUUUCAAGUUAGUCUCACAAAAAUUAUUUUUGGUGUCGCUGCUGAGCAUGAUUACAUAUUUGCUCGGCCACUGAUUAAAUUUACUUGUAUGAUCAGGCUCCAACUCAUUCUGUAUUGACGUUAUCAUCUGAUUCUGAUUCUGAUUCUUCUCACAAUGGUACAUCCUCAAUGGAGGACGAGAUUGAUAAUGGAUGCACUUCGCCUCAAAUUUUCUGCCGGGGUUUUAGCAAUAACAGCUUAACUACAUUGUUUUGUUCUUUGAUAAUAAUUUAGGGAACGGAGAUGGUGGGAAAAAUAUUGCCGAGCUGACAUUUGAGAAACAUAUGGAGCCUUUUGUAAGAAUCUCUGUGCCAUCACUGCUUGGGUAUUCUUCCAUCUGAUAAUUGCCUUAGGCCUUUUUGGUAUUGAGUAAAUUAUUUGGUAAAUACUAGCUAUUAUAGUUUGGAAGCUGAGUUGAUUUGACUGGACAAUUCUAUGAUAACAAACCUAUAUAAUAUCUUUACUAUUUUUGUCAAAUUAUUAUUAGAAAAUCAUAUUUACUAUAUACUAUCAAUUUUUAUUUUAUAGUCACUUUUUUUUUUCACAGCAGUUGUAGCUUUUAGCUAUUGUAACUUAAAAACUACAGCACCACAAUACUGAAUAAGGUCUUAGAUAUAGAGGAAUUUGCUAAGUUCCUUAUCAUGGUUGUCUUUUGACGGUCUAUUAUAGAAGGUCAUCAUUCAAAAUACCAUAAAUAAAUAAAUAAAUAAAAAUAUUUCUAUUUUGAUUAUCUCCAAAGAGCUUUCAGCCUCUUGAGCAAUUAAUUCAAGUGACAAAAAUUGGUACUUUUCUAGAUAACUCUUUUCAUCAAAACACGAGGACCUUAGUCAGUCACGAAAAUAUUUGGUCACUGUUGUCUUAAUAAUAAAAGCAACUCUCAUGCAAAUAAGCAAAUUUUAAUUUAUUUAUUUAAUUAUUUUGUGUGUGUAUGUGUCCUGCAAGUGCUCUAGUUUUGAGAAUUUAUCAAACAGUUGUUGCCUGCUUAAUAUUUUUUUACCAAUGCAUUUCAGUGGGAACAUUAUAAGUUUUAUAAUGAAUUUCAACUAUUUCUCCAAGAAGAUGGAAGGAAAUUGGUAUUUGUGGAAAAUUAAACUCAUUCACUCUGGUGGGGAACCUUUUGUGUGUUAGGAUUUUAUUGAUGUAAUUGAAGCUGAAAACUUGGAGGGCCUGAUUCUGGUCCUUUGUUCAUAUUCGAAUGCAAAUUUGUGGCAGAGGCAAACUGAUUUAGGAUGCACAAACUUUGAUUGGAUUGUACUAAUAAAAAACUCUUAGUUCUUCCAGGCAAAAGCUUCUUUUGACUAUUAAGAUACUGCUUUGGCUUUUUCUGUGGUUAAUUUUAGGCUUAUAUGGAGCUCAUAAUUGUAUGUUACUGUAGGGGUAGAUAAAUUUUUAAGGGUCUUACUGGUGCUCCAAAAUAAGAAAGUUGUUAGAUUAUUGUUAGAUUAUCCCUGUUGGUUAUAUUUGAGCUUAUAAAGAAAGUCGUCUGAUUUGACAUUCUUGUGAGUUUAUGGUCAAGAAAUCUAAUGGAAUGCUAGGCACCUCGUUUGAAAUUUGCCACUGACUUAACUGGAACUAGCGAGCAAGUGUCAAUGUGCUUUUGGGUGCUUAGUUCUUACAUUUGCAACUAGUUAAAUUUAACAUGGAAUUUAUGCUUCUUCAAACACUAUUACAAUCUUCAUAAGGCUGCCUCAAAAAAUAUGUGGUAUGGAACUCCUUGAAAUACAUUGGAUUAUUGGUUUAUUUAACGUGUUCAGAUAUCUUGAACCUCUUCAGAUUGUGGUGGAAACAUUAGAAACAUAUGUUGAGCUUGCUAUCUUGUGUCGAUUGAUGACAACUUCAUUUAUUGUUGAGCAGGCACCAAAAAGUUCAAUUUUGGCAUUAUCAUCAGAUUCUGAGUCAUGCCAGAAUAGUAGCCUCUUAAGGGAGGAGAAAGCAUUUCAGUUCCAAGAGAAAGAAAUGAACGAGGAUGCAGCUCUGACUGGUAGAGAAGAAAAGACUUCAGUUAAGAAGCUUUCAAAAGAAAAGUCUCCUAAGAAAGGGCUAAAAUCACCAAAGAAAGAAAAGGAUGUAGUUAAUAAUGUGAAAAGAAAAGGUAUGAAGUCUAUGCGAUGGUGACAGAUUCUAAUUUGAAAGAUUGAUAGUUAAUCAGGAUAUUGUCUUAAAUCUGAAUCUUUUGUGGACAGAAAAUGGACUGUUUUCAUUUCACCAAAAAAGAAAUUAAAAAAUAAAAGGUACUUUAUUUGGAGUUCUUAUGCAUGUCGGUUUAUAAUGGUGUAGGAAACAAUGACCAUGAAGAUGCUGAGGAAGACAUAGCGGAGAAGCGUAGUAUGCUUAAUGUGAGAAUUUUAUAGUAGCAGCUGUGACGGUUGCUCCUCUAAUCUGUCUUAUUCAACUCAUAGUUUUAUUAUUUUCAGGUCUCUACCUCGACAUUGCCUUUGGUGAUGUCAGAGAAACUCCAACGUACUAAGGUAGCACAUCUUGUUUAGAUUUUGGCUUCCUUUUAUCUGCCUUUUCUUUUGUGCUUGAUUCACUAGUCUCAAACUUUCCCAUAAUAAUUUCCUAGUUAGACAUGAAAUGUAUCUUUAUGCUGCAGAAAUUGUUACUUUUGCUGAUGUUUAAAUUGCAAUUCUUCAACGGAUGAGAGAGGAGGAUUUUCUUGCAAAUAGUGCUGAUGGAUGCUUAUAAAAAUGACGGCCUUUGGUGCUUUUUUGCCCAACUAAUUAAUCUUAUUAGAUACUUAGGAGUAUCAUCAGAUGCUAGUAAACUAAUUUCUCUUUUACUAGAACAUGCAAGACUGCAUCAAAUACUUUUUCUCAAUGUCUAUCUCUCGGGUGUUCAGGUAUAUGUAGAUAAAAAACUGCGGAUUUGUUUCUGGUUUUCGUGACUGAAUUUUUUGAUAUAUUGUUUGUCUCUGCAUGUUCUCUUUUGUGUUUGUCUCUGCAUGUACACAUCUAGCAUACAUGUAAUGAAUAGAAGCUUUGUUGUUUAUGCAGGCACUUGUGGAGUGUGAAGGGGAGUCUGUAGAUCUGAGUGGCGAUAUGGGGGCUGUUGGAAGAAUACUAGUUCCUGGUACUGAUGAGGGAAACCAUGAAAUGUUCUUGGACUUAAAAGGCAUGUUUUUUUUCUAGUUCAAUUUUUUUUUAAUUCAUAAAUUUUAAAAUGAUCUCUCUGUCUUUUUCUUUUUAAAAUAAGAACAGAUAAUCAUCCCUAUUUUAUGUAAGGCAGGACUGUAAACUCACAUGGUUUAAAAUUGAAUUAAGUUUACCAGCAUUGGACGCAUUUAGCAAUAUACAUUUUUGCUCCUGUUUUAUUUUUAUUAUUUUUGGGGUCUUGCUUACCUCCUGUUGUAUUGUUUUCCCCAUGUCUUGUCUACCUGCUCAGCUGCUCCCUUGUUGUUUCCGCUUUAUUGUUUGUUUAUAUAAAAAUUACGCUUUCAAGGUCUACUUUGACAUGUAUUCCUGAUUGUUGAUUAUUUAUUUGCAUUCUCGGUCUGCUGUUGACUGGUUUAGUGUUUUUUCACUCUCAGGAACCAUAUACAAAACAACAUUAGUUCCUUCCAGGACAUUUUGCAUUGUACGUUAUCAAUCUCCUUUGAAAUUCCUCAAAUUGGAUAUUAUUUCACCUACUCAAAAGAAAUGGCGAUGAUAAUAAUAGCAUGAUAAUAAUAAUAAUUAAAUCCCCUUUCCAUUUUCUCUGUUUCAAUUAUGGUCCAUAAAAAGUUAAUUUUUGCUGAGAUAGUAAGAUUGUUUAAUAACUUAGCUUUCUUUCUCUUCAGGUUAGCUUUGGCCACUCAGAGGCUAAGGUUUGUUGCGAGUCCUCUCCUUUUUCAUUUAUACUUUUGGAUUUUCCUAUUUUAAUUUUAUUAUUAUCCUUUUGUCUGUCAUAUAUAUUUUUCUUCCUCAUUAGUGAUUUUCCAAAUAGUUUAUGACUUUGAUAUUGCUAAGACAACCGCGGUACUGUGAUAAAUUUAAUCCAACUUAUUGACAUAAUUUUAUAUUUCUUGAUCAGAUAGAGGCCAUCAUGAAUGACUUUAUUCAGCUGAAGCCACAGUCUAAUGUUUAUGAAGCUGAGACUAUGGUUGAAGGUCAAGAUUUUAUCACACUUUCUCUAGAUGCGCACACACGCACUCAUAUAUGUGCAUUUACUCGAUUACCCUAAUGUUUGUCUUAGAUUCAUCCAGAUAAACCAUUUUCAAAAGUUCAUUGAGGACCCAGAAGUUUCACUGUUUUAUCAUUAAAAUAGUUCAAAACAAAUUAAUCACUCGGAUACAUGUUCAUUUUAAAACUUAUCCCUUAAUAUCCCGCUAAAUAAUAGGAGUUGGUUAAACUUAUUGUCAGACACAUAUCUGGCUAAAAUCCAAUGUUUUUCCCCCAUUUUUUCGUUUCUCUAAGAUGGUGUGUGAAAAUGAUUGCUUUACUAAUUCUUAAAUCAAAAUGUAAUUGAUAAAAGAACAUUGCUCUAAAUUGAAAAAAUUGCCCCAGGUAUUUGAAUUAUUUAUUAAAAUUGGCAUUUAGGCAAUUGGACUUAUAACAACUAUAUGUUUUGUACAUUUAAAUGUGCAUGCUGACAACCACUUCACUUCUUAUUAUAUCUAUGUCCUAUUGAGAUCUUACCUUCUUCCUCACAAUUCAUGAAUGCUGGUCCACUCACAAUGUGUGAACAUUGCAAUAGAAAAUUUAUUGAAGCAUCUGAACUCAACUAGUAUCAGUGACGGUGGGAUUAUUAAGCUAAAAAUUUUAGAGUCAAUUAAACUUUUAAACUAAGGGGUUCUCAAGUAAUAGACUUUGGAAGUAAUCUAGAGGUUGACUUAAAGUUUUAAACUAAAGGGUGCAUAAUUUUUUUUUUUUGGGGGGGGGGGGGGGGGAGAUUGGGCCAAACUCAUAUGAAAGGUGUCUAGAACUUUUUCAUUGUUUAAAUGACAAAAGUACCCAGGGAUUGUUUUCUUGGUUAUCAAUUUUCCUUUUUUUUUAUAAAUUGCUUUAACAUAUUUUCAUCUAAAUAGAAAAGUGUAGAUAAACUUCCCUGUUAUUUAUUGGAAUGAGAAUAGGUCUGAACUGUUGUCAUUAUUUCCUCUCGCAAAAUAUUAAGUUUAUUUGCUUUUUACCACAUACAAACGUGUGUAUAUGUAAACUGAAUUAUCAUAAACUACAAUAAAAUUGAUUAACGUGUUUCUAAUUUAGAAUAUUAAAGGAUUGUAUUCACUUGAACAUGAUUUAUUUUUGAUAAAAUACUAUCUUAUUUACAUUUGUUAAGAUGUUUAUAAUAAAUUUAACAUUUAAAAUUUGUAAGGAUGCAAUUAUAAAAGUAUAGUGUUCAGAAACUAACAACUUCAUACUCAUUAUUAGAGAUUCAAACUAAAAACCAAGCAUGUCAUUCAAAUUCAGAAAUUUAGCUCUUUUUAGAAUUCAGAUUUAAAAAAUAAAAUAAAAUUGCCACUGUAAUGACUAAUUUUCCAAAAGGGUUAUCUUGGUGAAUUUGAAUGAAGCAUGGGUGCCUGAGUGAAAUUGAGGACAUUUAUACAGAAAAUGUCUUGUUAUGGCAAUUGUGGUUGUGUAUCAUUAUUUGAUAUGUCCACUUCUAAUCGACAUUUGUCCUUCACGUUCAUUGAUUUCAUUUGAGCAGGAACAUUGGAUGGUUUCUUAUUUGAUUCGGAAGAUGAAUCUGACAAGCUUGCUAAAGCUAUGCCUCAUCAAAUUGAUCAAAAUGAUGGCAUUGAAGAACAAACAAAUGAGAAGACCAAAGUGAAAUCUGUAAGUUUCUGGACCCUUUCAAAUAGUUACUAAUGCAUCUAUUAUGAAUCCACAACUUAUAAUCUUUUGCAUUGUGUUAUUGUAUGAAUUUUUUAAAAGCAGGGGCCUGCUGGAAAGAGAGGUACGAGUGCUGGAGGACCGCCACAGCCACCAAAGAGAGCAAGAAAGAGAACUAUAGUUUCAAAGAAAGCUAAGGCGAAGAAAUGAGGCAUACAAUGUCUGUUUUAUGUUUCUUAUAUCCUGCUAAUGCUAUGGCUGUAUUAGUCAGAUGUUAGUUAUUUAGGUGAAAUGAAUCAAGAGUAGAAAUCAGAGGUUAAUAAUUUCAGGGGGAUUGUUUUUUGUCAAGCAGCUUAAAUGUGAAAAGAGUAACAUGUGAGGUUUUCGCAAUUCCAAUUAUGAUGGAUUUUCUGUUCGACACAAUGAUGCUGUGCCUACUUUACUUAUAGGCGUGCUUGUUGUGAAACAUGUUUCAAAAUGUUUGGACCAUCUGUAUUUUAUUAAAUUUUGGUUGACUCACUGUGAAAACUGCAAAUAUGGUAUUUCAAUUAAAUAAAUAAAUAAUGUGUGCAUUAUUCCAUAUUCUUCCAAGAUUUGACAGAACUCUAGACGUAUGAAAUCACAGUGAACUGCUAGACAUGGACUUUGUAAAAAUUGUGUGUUACAUAAUCAGCUCAGUACCAAUUGGAAUCUUUAAGUUGUAUUUUUUCUCGGCCUUCAAUUUAUUUGCACUUGCCAUAUUAAGUAAGGCUAAUUAGUUAGACCAAUACAACGUAUAUAAACCGGUCAGAGAACCAAAACCAGGAAAAUGAAAAUUGACACUUUAAGGGGCUGCAGGUGGAGGUUAUUCGAUGAGGAAACCAUCUGUUGAGCCUUGGUACUGCUGGGAUCUUGAAUUGAUGGUGGUGAAAGUGAACCGUUCGAUCCCUUGAACCUGUGUACAAAAAGAGAUGAGGUUGUUACGGUCUGAGAAUGAAUGCAGUUGCCAAAAGCUAUAAAAUCGAGCGAAAGAAUCCAUCGGAAUAGGAUGCAUACCCACGGCUGCUAGUGUUAGGGCAGAAUAUAAUAGCAUAAUCAUAUGCCUUGCAUGUGAAAAUGCUUGUCCCAUCGUCAAAGGCAUAGCUAUAAGCCCUUGGACAAGCUCGCUUAAAAAUUGAUGAAUAAAAGGAGGGGCUGCAUGUGGUUGGAUUAGCAAACUCCCCGCUACAGCAGUAUUGAUCUAAUCCAAAUGCUUCACAUGCACUCUUACAUGCAAUCACUUCCCCUUCCCUUGUACCUUCUCCACCCACCACUUGAAGUUCUUUUGGGCAACCUGAUUACAAGUGAUUUUAAUUCGGUCAUUUUUCAAUAUUGCUGACUGAAAAAUGUUAGAUCAAGUUGAUGAAAAUCGAAAUCUUACCCAUGUUGAUAUCUGAAGCGCAGCCUGUGGCGUUACAAGCACCAUAAACCCCACGUGGUUCAGCAACAAGAGGGAGGUUGUAGCCGUCAACAAUGCUGACAUCAUAAAAAUCUUUGUCAUUGCCCUUGCCGAGGGUUAUUUCGAAGAGUGAUGCAGGUGGGGUAGCACCACUACCAUCACAUUGGAGUCUUCCUCCACAGUCCCCAGUUUGACAAGAUCCAACUCCAGACUCGUCAAAACUGCAUCCUGUUCUUGCCCAAAUCCGACCAGACCACCCCGGAACAGAUGGAAUUCUUACGCUUUGCCCAGAUUCCAACUGGAAGCCGGUUGUUAGAAGCUGAGGGGUCCCUGAACCAGCAAGUGUACCAGGCCAUAUGGUGUAUGGGCAGUUAUUUGUUAUGGUGAAUGUAGAAGCGUGAGAGGGUAAGAAGAAGAGAGAACCGAAAAUAAAAAAGGCAGCAAGGAAUGGCCAUGACGUUAUUGUCAGCAUUGGAUUGGCAGCAAGUUUUCAGAAGCAAAUUUUUAAGUGGCAGUUUGGGAUGGAGAUGCAUUGAUCCCUAGCUACAUUUACAUAAGAUUGUAGGUUUAGGAUUCUGCCUGUGCUAAAGGGCUACGUUGCCGCAAGAUGACCUUUUUGGGUUUAGUACAUUUCUUUUCAUCUUGGAUGGCCUCUUUGAGAAGCAAUUCCUUUCUUUAGCCGCAGCCACUGCAUAAAGGCAUGACCCAAGAUAGGUACCCGCCAGCAAAAGAAACAUUACAGUUUCUUGAUUGAUUAGAAAGGGGAGCAUUUGCGAGUUAACUUUUCAUUCCUUGCCAAAAAGAAAAAAAAGGCAAUACUUGUUUAUCUUUUGAAUUUUAAAGAUUUAAGAAAAACAUAUAAGUGAACAUAAUCUUUCUGCAUAUAAAAAUUUAAGCAUCUCCUUUUUCAUAAAUCUCAUCAUUGACUAUCUUUGAAUUUGGAGGAAAAAUCUCACUGAUAACACAUCAUUUUUCGCUGUUUGUGGCUAUUUCAAGAAGUGGGAGACACGCUGGUUAACGAAACUUGAAGAAGAAUCAUAGAUGCAAUCAGGUGCCUGUUAGGAAUUUAAUUCGAUCCAUGCUUUCAAAUUAGACUUUCGGUAAACUCUUUCGAAGGUCGAUUUGUUGUGGCGGGAAUUUGAUGUGCGAACGUGUCGAAAUCUGAUUGGAUGUGUUUUGGUUUGGGCCGGACUGUUCUUGCUUAAAAAAGGAAAAAGGACAUUCAACCCCCCAACGUUUAAGAAAAGGGACAAAAAACUCCUCAACGUUUUAAAAAGGACUUAUAAUCCUCUUUCCGUUAACAAACACUGUUUGUUUUAACAGUAAAUUUAUUUUUAAUUUUUAAUUACUAUUAUACCCUUAUAAUAAAUAUAAAUUAAUAUAUUGAUUUGAGACAUGUCACAAUUAAUAAUUUUUUUAAAACUAAAAAUUGAGAUACAAUUAUAUUUUUGCCCAAAUUAUUUGCUAUAAAUUAUACCUUUCUAAUGAUCAAACCUUUCAUAUGUGAUUAUUACUAAUAAAACGAAAUUUGAUUAAACUCUUUUUCUUUGAGGAAUCAAAACCAUAUUAUUAUUGUUAGAAAGGUAUAAUUUAUAGUAAAUAAUUUGGGCAAAAAAAUAAUUGUAUCUCAAUUUUAAGGUUUUAAAAAAUUAUUAAUUGUGAUAUAUCUUAAAUUAAUAUAUUAAUUUAUAUUUAUUAUAAGGGUAUAAUAGUAAUUAAAAAUUAAAAAUAAAUUUACUGUCAAACAAACGGUGUUUGUUAACGGAAAGGGGGUUAUAAGUCAUUUUUGAAACGUUGAGGGGUUUUUUGUCCCUUUUCCUAAACGUUGGGGGGUUGAAUGUCCUUUUCCCCUUAAAAAAUUCCUCGCGGAUAAGAUUAAACCCGAUUAAUCUUUACAGCGGAUGGCUUACUAAUAAGAAAAUGGUUUGAGAUGUUUGUAUUUUCAAAAUUAUUUUCAAUACUCAUACUUUUAUAAAAUUAUUUAUUAUAAAAAUGGCCAAGCAAUAAAUUAUUACUGAAGACAAUCUACUCUAAGUAAAUAUAACAUUAUUUACUCCAAACACCACACACUUGUUUAAAAAUUCAUAAUUUUAAAAUAAAGCAAUCUCUUACAUUUUCCAAAGAAAGAUUUUAAUAAAAAAAAAUGGAUUUCGACGCAACUGAGUCAUCACAACAAGAUUAAUUUCUUUAGUUUUGUCUUGAUUCAAAUCCAACAUCAAUCAACUCAAUUCUAAUUCAUUAUUUAACCCUCUACUUUUCUCUUUGUAGGCUCACAUCAAUAUGAAUAUCAUCGCCAAAUCUUUAAGAAUCAGUCAGUUGUCCGACAAAUCGGACAAUUAGGAUUCUUCAAAAGCCAUGAAUCAACCAUUGAGAAUGAAAGCUAUGGUUACGUAUAGGUAGCAAUAUUAAUACAUACUCGUCAUCUUGGUUGAAGUUGUCCAAGCUAACCGCACAUUGAUACUUCAUUUGCUCUUUGCUAAAUAAUAAUAGCAAGGCUUCUAGUAAAUUUCAAUUUAAAAAAAAAAGGGUGUAACCAAUUAUUCUUUUAAAUUUGCAGAAUAUUUUUAUGUGUGUGCAUAAUAGAUAAAGAUAACUAAUUUAAAAUUUAAGUGAUGAUAUUUUUAGGCUUUUUAAAGAUUGUAAAUUAUAAAAGAUAAUUUUUAAAAUUAAUGGAUGAAUGUAUAAAGUAAUAGAGUGUUCUGAGCAUUUUAUAGAAUGCAAAUAAUCUCACUCUUUGAAGAUCUUAUAUGUUUCCAUAUGAUAGGUUUAAUAAGUAAUUUGUUUGUUUCAAAUAGUCUCUCCUUCGAUAUAAUUAUCUCAUAAGUUAUUUUCAUAAUUAAGUUAUUUAAUAACAAAAUUUAUUCUUUUAUGUUAUACAUUACUGAAAAUGACAAAUAAUAUUAUUUUGAAAAAUAGUUAGUGGUCACUUUUCCAUAGCUGAUGAUACAAACAAAGAUGUAAAUUAAAUGAUGAAGAGUAUAGUGCAAUGAAAAUGAGGUUGGGCAUCCAAUGGGGGAAGACCAUCCUAACUAAGGAUGGCAAUUGGCUAGGUCAAGAUCGGACUUUACUAUAACUGAAGUAAAGGGCUUGAGCCUAAAAAAGCUCGGACCUUUGAAUUUUGGGUCGAGGUAACUUGACUCAAUUUGAGUUAAGAUCAAGCUCUGGUGCCAUUAUUUUUUUAAUAUUUUUUAUUUUGCUAAAUAAAUAUUUUAAAUUUAAAAAAAAUGAGCAUAAUCUCCCCUAAUGUAUGAAAAUUUAAAAGUAAGAACAACAAAUGAAAAAUAACAGCAAGAACAGCAAUUAAAAAAAAAAAAUCCAAAGCUACAGUUAAAACAACAAUCAAAAUAACAAGGGGCCUCAGACAUCAAAGACCGAUAAGAACAUCCAAUGAAAAUAAGAAGGAACCUUAGAUAGGGUGGACUGCGGCCCAGCGGCGGUGUGGCUAAUUUUGGUGGCUGGUUUGUUUAUUUUGUUGGCUGGUUGGCUACCAGUAGCACAGCUGUCGUGGCGUGAGUUCGUGGCUGGUUGGUUGGUUGGCAGUACAAAAGAACUUUUGGUGAAGAAUUUAAAAUUGGCAGAAAAUUACUAUUUUUGUGAAUAUACCAAAAAUUGGCAGUACAUUGUAAAUUAACAAAGGAGCAUAUUGUUAACAAGAACUUCUGCAGCUCAAGUAAAUGUACAUUGUACUCUUUUUUCUUUGACCAAAUUUUAUGCUAUUAAGUUUUAUUGACAAGGUUUUAACGAAGUAGUAUCAAAGUACAUCUGGCUCCACUUCUUAUGAGAAUUAAAUGUAACCUAAGUGGGGAGUUUAAGGAGUCUCACAACUAUGGCCAUUUCAUUAUUUUGCUUUUGUAAAGACUUUCUAUACUAGAUCUUUAUUAAAGUCCCUAAAUGGUGAAGUUCAAAGGAAAAUGCUGUAGACUUGGUGAACUCUCACCAUUUCCAAUAGUCCCACAUCGAAAAUGUAAUCCCCCCACCCAGGCUUUUGAUUUUUCCUACAAGAAUGCUUCAUUUCCUUCUGCUUAGUGCCUUCUAGGCUCACAGCUUGUAGGGGCAUUUUGAUAUCCAACACCCAAACAGGUAAUUCUUCAAGAAGAUUUGUAGAUUUGUGAGAUUUGUCAUUUUUUAAAACCUUGUUAAUGAUAAGAAAAAGAAAAAGUAUCAUAAUAUAAAUAUGAAAUAUGUAAAAAUAAAAAAUAAAAAAAAUUAUGAAAUAUGCAAAAAUCUUAUGCAUGUACUUAUGGUUCUAACUAAAUCAUAACUUAGAAUUUCAAGUUUUGAUUUUUAAUGAGGCUAGAACAUUAGGUUCUCACCCCCUCAUUUGUGUUGUAAACUUUAGACUAUAACAAUAACAUUCAAAGACAAAUGUACGAAAUAACAAAUCUUAAUUUAUUAAAAUUAAAAUAACUUGAUGAGCAGUUAAACCAUCCACAUAAACAAAUAGAUUAAACUAGCCAUAUUGACAGAAUAAUAACAUAUUAACAAUAUAAUAACAAUAUAGGCAAUAGUAUAGAACUAGCCAUAUAAAUUAAAAAUUGUUACAAAUAGUAAACAAUUAAAUUAACAGCAUCAACUAACAACAUCAAAACAUAAUAAUAAAGCAUAAAAAAACACAAGUGGUAAAAGUUAAACUAGUCAUGUCAAAUCAACUAUCAUGCUAAAAUUGUGCUAUAAAUUAAAUAGAUAAAUAAAAUUUUUAGACUAAACAAAAUACUUUAAACACCUUGUUAUUAGGCUUAUAAGAAGCCAAUUUUUAUUCACACCAAAACAAUCCAAUGAAUCACAUUUUUCGAUGUGGGAUUGUUGCAAGUGCUGAGAGUUUAUGAAAUCUACAACACUCAAUACAUAAUGCCCAUGAAAAUCAAACCUAAAAAAUCAAAGCCGCCAAGUCUCAAGCAUAGAGGUUAAAUUCAAUAAUUUUGAGUCGAUACAAGAAAUAAAGUACCUGAACUUCAUAGAAAUGUAUACAUUAAGCACCUCCAUGAUACCCAAUAAUUUUUGCACUUCAAUGAUAAAACCUUGAAAAACUUUGGCUACUCUUUCUCUUUAAUCUCUCCUAGCCGAGCAUACAAAGGAAGAAGGAGCUAGGUCUAUUUUCUUUUUCUUUUUAUGGUAAGGAUUUUUGGUAGUGGGCUUGGUUGGGUUUAAUUAGGCUUGACUUAAAACAAUUAGAACUUGGCCCAAUAACAAUCUUAAGCCCAAAAUCAAGUAAGUCCAAGCACUAAUACGAUACCAUUACCCACACUAAUAUUAUUGCUUGUAACAAACAGCAGCAGCUAUAAAAGUAACGUGACUGAAAAUUAAAUACCAAUUAAGAAAAUAACCCCUAGUCAUCGCAAUACUAUCAAAAUAAUAUUAAUAAUUACUCACUUGAUUUCUGGGUAUUAUAGAUUUUAAAGCCUAAAAAUCUCCAACAAGAGAGGAAACAAUAUAAAUACUCUAAAUCAUCUAUUUGAACCAAUUAAACAAAGUUUCUUGAGCUUUGAUGGUUGCUUACAAAGAGUUGCAUCCUCAUCAAGCCAAAAUCACUACAAUCAGCAAUUAAAGGUGAGAUUAUGAUAUUUCUACGAAAAUAGAAAGAAAGUUAAAAAAAAAACGGUGGGAAAAAAAAGCUAAAAAUGGUAAAAAGAAAGUUUGUGAUUAAUGAAGCAAGCUAUUGUAGUUAAAAGAGAAUAUGAAAAUCUACUACUUAACCACUUACAAGGAUAAGAUAUUUUCAGUGUUCCAAAAUUUUGAUCUUCUCCAGACAGUUUUCCAUGUGUUGAGUAACAUCGGCUGAGAGACAUGCUCCAACGGCAAGCUUAUAAUGUUCAAAUUUCACCUCCUCACACUUCAAUGCAGCAUUCUUACAGGCCCUGAUGCUCCCUACCAUACAAAAAGAAAAUGCCCCUUCAUUCUCACAACAACAUAGAAAUAGAUGAAGUUCAGAAUUCACUGUUCCAAAAUCAAUAAAUGUGGUAAUAGCUGCCACAAUGAGUUUAAUGAGUUUUUGAUGAGACAAUCCACCAUGUAAUAUGAAAAUUAUUCAAUUCACAUAACUGCUCGCCCAUUCAAGAAAAAAAAAUUUAAAAAUUAGUACACAUGGAGCUCAUUAGAAUAUCUAUUUCAAACUAAUUUAUGUAAAGCCCCAUAGAAUUGAACAGCACAACUGCAAAUUUGCAUGCAAAAUAUUGGAGAACUUACUGCAGACGAUCCUGCAUAUGCUUUGCAGCAAAAUGUAGCAACAAAGAAAACGAACUUCAAGAAGCAUGGUCGUACAAAGGAAAAUUUACAAAUAUCUUCUCAGUUAGAUAACAAUGCUGAUGCUUUAAACAUAUUAAAAUACUUCUAUAAAACAAAAUCACAUUGAAGAAUUCAAAACUUUGUUCUCACUAUCUUUUUCCCUCAAAUUAACCACGAAAGUAAACUAUUUAGAGUUGUAUGAACUCACCACUUAGGUCCAGUACGUUAAAUAGAACCAGGCAAUUUCCUAUGCUUCUAACCAUGGUAAUUGCAGACCAAACCUUCUGACAAUCCUCCCUUGAGGCUCUGAUGAUACAUAGCUUGGUGAUGGGAUUCACAUACUUGACUAUACACACAAAAUAGAUGUUCAAAGAUAAGAAACCAGGAAAAUGUCUUAAAAGUUUUAAGGGGAAAUUUGUGCCGAACAAACAAGGACUGGUGACAUCUCACAUACCUUGGAAUGAUCCAAGCAAAGAAGCUAGACCACACUCGCCGAAGUUUACAAGAAUGCUGUCUCUAAUUGCUUUCGACACAUUAAAUUGGGUAAGUAUAACAGGAUCAUCCACGGGAAGCUCUUUAUUUGGGUCCAAAAAUACCUCCACUACCAUAUACCUAUUUUUAAAUCCAACCAUGAUCCUUUAUCUGUACAGAAACCCAAUGUUGUCAGUUAAAGCAAUACCUCAUUAAGAUGGACAAUUUGCUCAAUAAUAGAUUACUUCAUUAAACAUCUGAAAUUAAAGAGUAAUGUUUCCAGAUCUAUGUAAUUUCGGAUGUAAUUGAAAGUCCAUGUGGCAAUGGGCACAAAACAGCAAUCCAUUUGGAAGCAAUGAAUUUGGUCGGUUCUAUGACAUUUAAAGUCUCAUAGAUUGCCUAACAAAUAACCAAAAAAAAAAAAAAUUCUUAUGCAGAUAAUUAAUCGGAAAUAGUAAGUUUGAAUCGGAGCCCAGAGAAUCUCCAAGAAGUUUUCUUGGGGCUGCACAAUGAUGGUAAGUCAUGUUUGUUGUAAUCAUAACUUAAUAUGUUGUAUCAAACUCUCUUGAGAAUCCAACAAUUACCAGAAUCAUAACUAAUACAAAGUUUUAUAUAGAACGUUUUUCAAGGUAUGUAAUGACAGCUUUUUAGAGGUACUGCAAUUACCACUAUCAUCACACAAUUACAAUUGUUUACUAAGAAGACAAUCGACAUUUAUUUUAAACAUCUCUAUGCGCCAUCUUCAAGAAACAGUGAACUUAUUUUCCUUUUAUCACAUAUUUAUAAACAGAACAUAUCACAAAAAAAAUACAUAUUAAAGAACCUCGCCUUGAAUGAAUGAAGACAAAGAAAACUCUGUACUUUCUUGUAUUUAAAAGAAAGUACAACUAUGUACUCUUUAUUGGGUAAUGAUAUCUAAGAUAGCAGACUUCUGAUUCCUUCAUUUUUCUGAUCGUAAGUGUUAGAAAAGACUUUCUAUACUAAAAUUUUUCAAAAUAAAGAGUUUGCCAUAGGACUAGGCAGUUUGGGUUCGGUUUGGUUUAACCAAACCAAUCAAAAAUCAAUCAGUUUGAAAGAUUUCAAACCAAACCGAAUUAACAUCAGUACAUCCAAGUCAAAUGAAUUUGGUUUUUGGUAAAGAGAUGAAAAUCAGUCCCACUGGCAAUGAAGAAACAGAUAAAAGCAAAAAGCACAAGCACAAAAUUGAGAUCUUGGAAUCUCACAACCACCAUCAAUCUAGAUUAUGUGGUAGAUGAAACACUAAAAAGCUAAAGAAAUCGAAAAAAGAAAAAAGAACAAGAACAGUAGGGUUGGCAAUUUACGGGCCUGGGCCUGCCCAUCCCUUGAGCGGGCUGGGCGCUUUUAUUUUUUUAUUAUAAAUUUUUAAUAAAGCUAUAAACAUUUAAAAAAAAAAACCUUAAAUUAUAGAUGAUUAUCCAAUGCACAAAACACUUGCAACACGACAGAAUAAGCUAUAAUUACUAAUUAAAAAAAAACCUAAUCCAACAUACCAGUAUACCACCAAAAUUAGAGCAUGUAACAAUUUGCCAGCAAAGUUUCUUUCUGUUAAAUUAUAAAUACUACAAUUUCAAAUUUGUUGAAAAUCUAAAUGCAUAAACAUGUAAUGCAAUUUAAAAAUCGACAUUGAUGCUUCCUAAUCAAAUUGUAACUUGAUUGUGAAGAUGGAUUAUUGAAAAAUUAAUACAGAAAUUAAUAUGUAUAUAAUAAUUAACCAAAUUGUAACUUUAUAAAUUAUAAUCACAUUAAUAUUUAUUGCAAAAUUAAUACAGAAAUUAAUAUGUAUACAAUAAAAAUUAAUACAGAAAUUAACCAAUAUUGGAACUUUAUAAUCACAUUAAUAUGUAUGUAUAUAUAGAUUCAAAUUUAAUACAGAAUUUUAUUUUCUACAAGAAAUGAAAAAAUCGAAAGUGGGGCUGAUUUCUACCUCAAAGAUCACGUGGGCAUGGUGUGUUCAAGGCAGAGUGGGUUCGCUGCUGCUGGCAUCCCUGCGCAGUCGCUUCUGGUGCUAGGUUCAACGCGUAUUGGUGCUCGCGACUCGCGUGACUAGCUGGCUGCCUGCUGGGUGCCGGGCUCGCGACUCGAGGUGCAGCGUGCUGGGCUUGCGAAGAUCGGCGGUGAUGAUGGCUGCGAGUGAGGACUGAGGGUGUGGCUGUCGGCUGUCGGCUGUCGAGGCACGGUCGGCACCUGGUGUGUGGUGUCUGCAAUGUUUGUUCUACUUCUUUUGUUUAACUUAGUGUUACUGCUUACCAAGUUAGGAAGAAUAGGUUACAGGGUGUUUUCACUUUUGUUUUUGUGUUUUUUUUUUUUCUUUUUUUAAUUUGAUUUUUUUUUUAAAUUUAUAUAUAAUAAAGUCUGGGCUUGUCCCGGGAUUUUACAUCAGCCCCAUAAGCAGGCCCACUAUGUGAGGGCCUUAAUUUUUUAGUCCAUAUCCUUUAUUUUAAGCAAUGGCCUGGGCUUAAGGCCGAGCUUUGUUUUUUUUCCUCUCUCUCUCUCUCUCUCUCUCUCUCUCUCUCUCUCUCAAGCCUAACUAUCGAACGCAAAGGCAACAAUUGUUUAAACAUAUUUAUUUAAACACAACCACUCAAAUGAACACUUAGUAAACAAAUCCUCAAUACACCAUUUAACCUCCCAAAAUCCCAGACUCAAGCCCCAUGUGCGCGAAACCAAAACGGCCACAAAAGCCUCCAAUCCUAUCCCGACUCAGCCGAUAACUCACUCCCCUCGAACCCACAGAACACGCUCAACCUCAACUCACUCCCCUCGCAUUCCAACCAGCCCAUCUUAUCCCAACCCCAGGACCAGAACCAAGUAGCUACGACGGUAGCAAACUCUGAGUCAUUUCAAACAAAAUCAUUUUCUUUAAGUUGGUUCAGUCAUACAUGUAAAAUCGACAAAUAAACAAAAAAAAAAAAAAAAACUUUCUUGCUUACGCAAGUCAGCAACGAUGAGGAUAUGACAUAAGGCAGUAGCGAAUGACAAGUUGAUGACGAGGAUAGAACGGAAGGAAGCAGCGAAUGGCGAGUUGGCAGUGUGUGCAGGAUGGGCCGAUGGCGACGGACAUCUACCGUUUGCGAUUUUAUGCGAAUCUCCAAGUGCAAGGUGAGUGAGUAAAGGUGGCCAACAGGCCGUGCCAUGCCGGCCUAGGCCCAUUAAAGAAAAGCCCACACGUGCACGCAUUCGUGCUUGUGUCAUGCCGUGCUCAUUAUGCGUUUCGUGUUGUGCUGUGUCAUGUCUAAUUUUUUUUGUCUAGGCCCAGCUCAACACAUAUGUUGUGCUCACACAUGUCGUGCUGUGGGUCAUGCCGUGCCUAGGAAAAAAAAAACACACUAAGCUUUUUUAUUUUUUUAAGGAGUGUUGCUAUUUACCCCGAAUUUGCACCCUGAAUUUACACCCUGAGAUCAAAACGCACCGUUUGCUCUGAGUUAAUCACGUGUCCAUUAUCUUGCUUUAUAUAAAGGAAAGGAAAAAGCUGGGGAAAGAAAAAGCAAAAGCAAAGCUGUUUCUUCACGUGUUUCUUCAGUAAAUGUAUGGGCCUAACUAGAAAAUUUGUUGUGUCCAGCUGUGGUCCGCUUAUUUUACUUUACUUUGCUUUGCUAUUUCCUUCCUUGUUUGUUAUUUCCUUCUUCUUUGUUAUUUCCUUCUUUGUAUCAGUUGAUGAUACAUGCAUCAAACACAAUAAUAAAAAUUGAACGAGAGCAAGAGAACGAACCAUCGAUCAAGAGUUGAGGGAACGGGGGGGGGGGGGGGGGAAGAGAUUGAAUUAAGACGCAAGUGGCGUGGUUGAGUGGAUUUGAAACCAAAAAUGGAAUGAAAUCAUCCUGACUUAACAAACGAAUCUGCCUGAAGAAAAAGAGUGCUGCUAACUGGAAAGAGAAAUGGAAAGUGAAAGCAAAAUGUUUACCUUGCUUUACGGGCCUAACUAGAGAAGUGGGAAGUGAAAGCAAGGAAGUGGAAAGUGAAGGCAAAAUGAAGCAACACGUGUGGAGAGAAAAAAGUAAACGAUGCGUUUUGAUUUCGGGGCGCAGAUUCGGGGAUUAAAUUCGGGGUAAAUAACUUUUUCAUUUUUUAAGAGCGUAUAACAAAUUAUUGCCUUAUUUUUUUUUUAAGCCCAUGUACUUUUUUUUAUCCAAUCUUUAUUAAAAUUUAAUACAAUCAAAAAUUCAAAAUUCAAGUCCAUAUUCAAUAAUAAUAAGAGAUCACUAAAUUUGACUCUAUGGUAUUAUAAUUCUUUUUUAGUACUUAACAACAACAAUAAUAAUAACUUUUUUUUAAGGAUUAACUUAAUUGUUAACUUAGAAUUACGUAGAAUCAUAUAUCAUAAUUUAUAAUAAUAUUAAUACAUAUUUAUAAAAUCAUGAUAUUUAUAAUUUUAUUUACUAUAAUCAUAAUAUCAAUUAUUUAUUUAAUAAAUUAUAAACAUAAAUCAAUUAUAAUUUUUUUGAAACUAAGAAUUAAAUAAAUCUAAAAAACUUGAGCUAAUAUAAUAUAUUAAAAGAUUCAAUUUCAAGUCAUUUAUAAAAUCAUAAAAUUUUAAGUAUACUUUUAUUAAAAAAUGAAACGUGUUUUUUCGCGUGCCGUGUUUUAACGCAUCUCUAAUAGUGCAGUGCUUUUAAGGCACAUGUGCCUAAAAAUCUAAGCUCGGCCUCAGCCCACGUGCGUGCUGUGCUGCUUGCUCUACUGAAACGUGCUCGUGCCGUACCAUACCUCGUGUCUCGUGUCGUCUGGCUCAUUGACCACCUCUAAAAGUGAGUUUAAGAGAAAAGUUAGGGCUUUGAUUCUGAUUUUUUCAUUUGUCUCUUAGAUCCAGGACUUCUAAUUUAGUGAAUCCAAAUAUAUUUUCAAUUUUCUUUUUAAUGGAUAAAAUCAGUUGGUUUUUCAAAACGACCGAACAUAAAAUUUCGGUUUGCUAGAUAUGCAAACAAAUGAAAAAAGCACAUAUGAAAAAAUUAACAACUAACUUUUCAAGGCAACAACAAAGAUUCACUCAAUAAGCAACACAGAAAGUAACUUAUGCACAAACAAAUCAAACAAUCAAUUCUUUACAAGUCAAUCUUAAGGCCACAGUUAAAUAUAUCACGAAAGAACCACAACAAUUAAUUUCAGUACUAAUAAUAACUAAUUGCAAACUAGUCUUAAGGUUUCAAUUAUAAUAUAUAUAUAUAUAUUUUCCUAAAAAAUAAUUUUCUCAUACACUAACUAAAAAAUAAUUUUCUCAUACACUAAUGAGGUAUUUGCAAACUCUUUUUUUUUUUUUUUUUUGUCAAACUUUGAUUAUUUACAAACUAAUUUCAACUAAUUAUUUUGUUGUUUCCAAUAAAUCAUAAGACAUAAUUAAGAAUAUAAAAUAUAACUUUUUUUUUUGGGCUUCUAGCGAUAUGAGGAUGGCCAAGGAUACGACUACAGAGGUACGGUGAUAGAAGACUAGCGGUGGAGUUGAUGCAAGGGAGUGGCGACUAAGGUUGGCAUUAGGGUUUUUCAUCUCUUGUUUACACAUGCAGAUUGUUGCGGGCAUAAGUAUGGUGUUAUCGUGAAUCUACCUAUUAGGGGUGUACAUUUCGGUUUUCAAUUUGGUUUUUCUAAUUUUCGGUUCCAUUUGAAACAUGUUCGGUUUAAGAAUUCAACCCAAACAGGUUGAAAAUUUAUUUUGGAUUGGUUCGGUUUGGAUUCAUAAUUCAAUUCAGGUUCGAGUUGUUAAUUUGGGUUACAAAAAAGGGCUUGGGUUAUUAGUUCAGGUCAGGUUACUAAUUUGGGUUACAUCAACCACUAUUAAGAAACAAGGUAAACACCAAAUGAUGAAAAAUAUUCGGAUACUAAGACAACAAAUACAAAAUAUUCAGCAACAAAGUAUAACAACAAAGAAAACAACUUCAAGGUCAUGAAUUUAUUCCAAAAAAAUAAAAACAAAUAUAAAUUAUUAGAUAAAUAAAACCAUCUCUAUUUCUCCAUCAACAACAUUUCUCUAUCAACAAACAAAUCACUCUCUGCAAAAAGUUUCGUAUGCCUUUCUAAAGUUCCAAAUAAUGCCUUCAUCAACAUUCACACAACAUUAAAACUUAAGAAAGAUACUGUAAUGAUAUUGAAAUGAUAAAACUGAUCGGAAUUUAAAGAGAAAGUGGUAGUACCAAUGAAUCUUAUCAAAAACAAGAUAACAAGAUAAAAAGAGCUACUGGAAUCAUUCUGUUGCUUGCAAGCUCCUUAAAAUUACAUUUAUUACUUUAUGUUGAAUCAUGAAACUGAACACAAUAAAUUGCCAAUUCUAACGCAUUGACUUGACUCUAUGGUUGGAAAUCUAAACAACCAUAGUUUCAAAUUAAAAAUAUUUACUUUCAUUUUCAAAGGUCUCUUGGCUAGCAGAAAUUACCUAGAAAAGAAGAUACGUUGUGUGAGAAAAAUCUGUCAAGGACUCGUGUUAAGGAAAUACUUCAAAUGGUAAGGGUUACUUCACUUUUCUUCUGCUUUUAGUGCCCUAAAUGAUGAACCUGUUGUCUCACCAUGUCAGUACUGGUAGAGGCCUAACUGAAUGGGGAGAGAGAUUCAACUUGACACCUCAAGCAGUUAAGACAUUACUUCCUAGAUAAUGAAUUCACUUCCAAUUGUCUAACGUUUUAUACAAUUAUGAAUAAUUAUGAACAAAACUCAUACAGAUAACAGAUGAGCAUAAUUAAUAAAUCGUAAAUUAGAUCUUUAAAUUAUUAAUUCAUAAAUUAGAACUCAUGAAAGCGUGAGUAAUCAACACUCAUAUCAUAUCAAGUUCUUUUUAUCACUUAAAUUACCGUGAAGAGCUGACAACCAGCUGCAACAAAUGGAGGCUGUGCUGGUUGUCGUGCCGUCGUGGAGGUAGCCAGCGGCCAGAUUUGAGAGAGGAAGAGUCGAGGAGAUGCUGGCUGUUUGGGUUUGUUUUGUGACUUUGGCAAAUUGUUAUUUUUCAAUUGGGGUCGGGUUGCACUGUAACUGUUGGACCUUUUUAUUUUUUUUCCAAUGCUAGCGUGAUUUUUACUGUUGAUCGGUUGACCCGAAGAGAAUUGCAAAACCAUCGGUUUUAAGAUUUCAAUCCGUUCAAAAUUUAGAAUUAAUCUAAACUGAAUUGGAAAUGAAUAAACAUUUAAAUUCGGUUCAGUUCGAAUUGAUUUAAACCGAACGCUCACCUUUACGUGUAAGAGAUUGUCACGCUUGUACAUUUCAAAUUGUUAUAGUGACAGUGACAACGUGUAAAAUGUGUCCAUGUGUACGUUGCAUCGUGACAAGACGAGAAAGAGAGCCGUUAGAGAAGGAACCGUUGGUUUUGGUUUGAUUAGAAUAUGAUAAUCUCCUGAUUUGAGUUCUACUGAGUUUUUAAAAGUCUUCUAUCAUGUAUUUUUUUUUGUGGUGGUGCAUGAGUAAAAUUUAACUUUUUUAUUUUUUUAUUUAUUAACUACGACGCGACUCACGCAUGGACACGUUUUACACAUUGUCACCAUCGCUAUAACAAUUUGAAACGUAAAAGUGUGGCAAUCUCUUACACAUAGAAGUAAGCAUUCGGUUCAAAUCAAUCUGAACUGAACCAAAUUUAAAUUUUUAUUCGUUUCCGAUUCGGUUCAGAUUAAUUCUAAAUGUUGAACGGAUUGAAUUCUCAAAACCGAUUGUUUUGCAAUUCUCUUCGGGUCAACCGGUCAACAGUAAAAAUCACGUUAGUAUUGGGGAAAAAAAAAAAAAAGGCCCAACCGUUACAAUGCAACCCGACCCCAAUUGACAAAUAACAAUUUCCCAAAGUCACAAAACAAACCUGAACAACCAGCAUCUCCUUGACUCUUCCUCUCUCAAAUCUGGCCGCCGGCUGCCUCCACGAAGGCACGACAACCAGCACAGCCUCCCGUUUGUUGCAACUGGUCAUCAGCUCUUCACGGUAAUUUAAGUGAUAAAAAGAACUUGAUAUGAUAUGAGUGUUGAUUAAUUACGCUAUCAUGAGUUCUAAUUUACGAAUUAAUAAUUUAAAGAUCUAAUUUACGAUUUAUUAAUUAUGCUCAUCUGUCAUCUGUAUGAGUUUUGUUCAUAAUUAUUCAUAAUUGUAUAAAACGUUAGACAAUUGGAAGUGAAUCUUUCUCCCCAUUCAAUUAGGCCUCUGUCAGUACUGACAUGGUGAGAAAAUGGGUUCAUCAUUUAGGCCAUUAAAAGUAGAAGAAAAGUGAAGUAACUCUUACCAUUUGAAGUAUUUCCUUAACACGAGUCCUUGACAUAUUUUUCUCACACAACGUACCUUCUUUUCUAGGUAAUUUCUGCUAGCCAAGAGACCUUUGAAAAUGAAAGUAAAUAUUUUGAAUUUGAAACCAUGGUUGUUUAGAUUUCCAGCCAUAGACUCAAGUCAAUGCGUUCAGAAUUGGCAAUUUAUUGCGUUUAGUUUCAUGAGUCAACAUAAAGCAAUAAAUGUAAUUUUAAGGAACUUGCAAGCAGCAUAAUAAUUCCAGUAGCUCUUCUUAUCUUGUUAUCUUGUUUUUUAUAAGAUUCAUUGGUACUACCACUUUCUCUGUAAAUUCUGAUAAGUUUUAUCAUUGCAGUAUCAUUAAAAUCUCGAUGUACGAGUGGAGUUAAUUUGUAUGUUCUUAGCGGGUGUAACGAUGUUAUUAUAAUAUUUCAACAACACUAAUUCCUCAAAUUUAUUAAUGGGAAAUUAUGUCUUUACUGCCGGCCUAAACAUUUGAAUUAUGACAUAAUAAUAUAAUCUAAAUAGGGUAUGAAAGACUUCCAUUAAAAAUAUUAGUAGCUUACAAAUAAACAUAACAUAUAAAACAACUAAAAUAAUUUUUUUAAACAGCAAUUUCAGUUUAUUUAAAACAUCAAAAGUAGCUUCUAAUAACAUCCUAUUUCACAAAACAUCAAAGAUUUAUUUAAUAAUUUAUUAUUUUAGAAGGAAGGAUAUUUUAGUAAUUUUAAUAGUCCACUAACGGUCAACUCAGACAAUAGCUAACUCAGAUAAUAGCUAACGGCAAGGGACAUGUUUGUAAUUAAAUCAAUACAUUCUAUAUAAGUGUUAAUACGCCACUUCAAAGGAGGUCCCUAAAAAUUACUGCAAUUUUUUUUUUUAACUAUUUAGUAAAAAAAGAGGCCAAGCGGUGGAGCAUUUUCUUAGCAUUCUCAGUGUCAGGAUCAGUAACAUGAAAAACAUGAUCCUCUCCCUCCACUUCAAAAAACUCCACUUCUCCUCCGAACCCACUUCCCUUAACAGCAUCAACAUACAAAACAUCUCUGUCUCUCAGCCGAUCCUUCCCAGCAACACAGACCAGCAUCCUCGAACAAGCAAGCUUAGCCAAACUCGGCUUACCUGAACCAACAGGAUUGAUCAUCGGAUUAUCAAUACCACCAGGCGCCGCUGGAUAGACAAAUUCCCAAAUCAAAUAUUCCAAACACUUCUUCUGAUCAUAAUUAUCACUACCAUCUGAUUCUGAACCGACUGGAAUGGAGCCCCAGAAGUAAGGAUGCCCUAGAAAUGCUCCUAAAAUCCGAACACCAGUACCCUCCUUCAAUAAAGACUCUUGAUCAUCAUCACCCGCUUUCAUAGCUAUGUUAUGAACUAUAUUGCCUCCGGAGCUGUCACCACCAAUAAAGAAUCUCUCAAAAUCUCCGUGGUUUAAUAACCAGGGCUCCUUGUUAUUAAUAAUAUUGGAGUGUUUUGAUGAUCAGGAUCAUGAUGAUUGAUACUGUUACGGUUACGAUGAGAAGCGACCCAUUGAAAGGCAGCCCAGCAGUCUUCAUAUGCUGCGGGAAGAAGGUGUUCUGGGGCGAGCCUGUAUUCAAUGGAGACUGCGAGUACUUGAGACUGAGAGACCAAGGUGUUGAGGUAUCUGUGCUGAAGAAAUGAGAAAGCAGACUCGAUGCAGAAGGCGCUGCCGUGGAAGUAGACCAAAAUGGCGAGUUUUUGAUGGGGCUGGGUGAGUUUUGGGAGGUAGAGGCGAGCGGAUAUGGCGGGGUUUUGAGAGAUGGUUAUGUCUUUUGAUGAGACCCCGAAUUGAGGAUCCGGGUCAAGCGUUGGAGGCACGUAGGCUGAAUCCAUCAGCCGCUCAACUGACCCAUCUUUGAAGACUCUGAUCAGU